GAUGAAGAACGCAGCGAAAUGCGAUACUUGGUGUGAAUUGCAGAAUCCCGUGAACCAUCGAGUCUUUGAACGCAAGUUGCGCCCGAAGCCAUUAGGCCGAGGGCACGCCUGCCUGGGCGUCACACGUCGUUGCCCCCCCAUCUACUCCUUCGGGAUUGCGGGGGGCGGAUGAUGGCCUCCCGUGCGCCUCGUCGCGCGGUUGGCAUAAAUGCCAAGUCCUCGGCGACGCACGCCACGACAAUCGGUGGUUGCGAAACCUCGGUUGCCCGUCGUGUGCGGUCGUCGCGCAUCGAGGGCUCGAAAAAAUUGCCGGGCUCCGGCUCGGCUUUCAACGCGACCCCAGGUCAGGCGGGGUUACCCGCUGAAUUUAAGCAUAUUAAUAAGCGGAGGA
Molecule: unclassified non-coding RNA, 391 nt
Filed under: soil metagenome
Description: partial contains 5.8S ribosomal RNA, internal transcribed spacer 2, and large subunit ribosomal RNA
Rfam family: 5.8S ribosomal RNA (bases 1-122)
Source: RNAcentral